GUAACAAGGUCUCCGUUGGUGAACCAGCGGAGGGAUCAUUACCGAGUUAUACAACUCAUCAACCCUGUGAACAUACCUAAAACGUUGCUUCGGCGGGAACAGACGGCCCUGUAACAACGGGCCGCCCCCGCCAGAGGACCCCUAACUCUGUUUUUAUAAUGUUUUUCUGAGUAAACAAGCAAAUAAAUUAAAACUUUCAACAACGGAUCUCUUGGCUCUGGCAUCGAUGAAGAACGCAGCGAAAUGCGAUAAGUAAUGUGAAUUGCAGAAUUCAGUGAAUCAUCGAAUCUUUGAACGCACAUUGCGCCCGCCAGUAUUCUGGCGGGCAUGCCUGUUCGAGCGUCAUUACAACCCUCAGGCCCCCGGGCCUGGCGUUGGGGAUCGGCGGAAGCCCCCUGUGGGCACACGCCGUCCCUCAAAUACAGUGGCGGUCCCGCCGCAGCUUCCAUUGCGUAGUAGCUAACACCUCGCAACUGGAGAGCGGCGCGGCCAUGCCGUAAAACACCCAACUUCUGAAUGUUGACCUCGAAUCAGGUAGGAAUACCCGCUGAACUUAAGCAUAUCAA
This 566-nucleotide ribosomal RNA is filed under the name Fusarium solani. Its description in RNAcentral is "eukaryotic LSU rRNA". The stretch from base 192 to 345 matches the Rfam family "5.8S ribosomal RNA". Lineage: Eukaryota; Fungi; Ascomycota; Sordariomycetes; Hypocreales; Nectriaceae. The record is from RNAcentral.